RNAcentral lists this ribosomal RNA (446 nucleotides) under uncultured bacterium. RNAcentral's name for it is "partial 16S ribosomal RNA". It matches the Rfam family "Bacterial small subunit ribosomal RNA", at positions 338 to 795 of the family's 1533-position model. The record is from RNAcentral.
CCUACGGGAGGCUGCAGUCGAGAAUCAUUCACAAUGGGGGAAACCCUGAUGGUGCGACGCCGCGUGGGGGAAUGAAGGUCUUCGGUUUGUAAACCCCUGUCAUGUGGGAGCAAAUUAAAAAGAUAGUACCACAAGAGGAAGAGACGGCUAACUCUGUGCCAGCAGCCGCGGUAAUACAGAGGUCUCAAGCGUUGUUCGGAAUCACUGGGCGUAAAGCGUGCGUAGGCUGUUUCGUAAGUCGUGUGUGAAAGGCGCGGGCUCAACCCGCGGACGGCACAUGAUACUGGGAGGCUCGAGUAAUGGAGGGGGAACCGGAAUUCUCGGUGUAGCAGUGAAAUGCGUAGAUAGCGAGAGGAACACUCGUGGCGAAGGCGGGUUCCUGGACAUUAACUGACGCUGAGGCACGAAGGCCAGGGGAGCGAAAGGGAUUAGAUACCCGGGUAGUC